UAGGGGUGCUCCCCAAGAAGAUCAGGACUGC
Molecule: non-coding RNA, 31 nt
Filed under: Homo sapiens (human)
Lineage: Eukaryota; Metazoa; Chordata; Mammalia; Primates; Hominidae
Source: RNAcentral